UAACACAUGCAAGUCGUACGCUUCACUUACGGUGGGGCGUGGCGCACGGGUGAGUAACGCGUGGGAACGUGCCCUGGGGCCGGGAAUAACAGCGGGAAACUGCUGCUAAUACCCGGUACGCCCUGUGGGGGAAAGGAGCAAUCCGCCCUGGGAGCGGCCCGCGUUGGAUUAGCUAGUUGGUGGGGUAAGAGCCUACCAAGGCUUCGAUCCAUAGCUGGUCUGAGAGGAUGAUCAGCCACACUGGGACUGAGACACGGCCCAGACUCCUACGGGAGGCAGCAGUGGGGAAUAUUGGACAAUGGGCGCAAGCCUGAUCCAGCCAUGCCGCGUGAGUGAAGAAGGCCCUAGGGUUGUAAAGCUCUUUCGCACGCGACGAUGAUGACGGUAGCGUGAGAAGAAGCCCCGGCUAACUUCGUGCCAGCAGCCGCGGUAAUACGAAGGGGGCAAGCGUUGUUCGGAAUUACUGGGCGUAAAGGGCGCGUAGGCGGGCAUCCAAGUCAGAGGUGAAAGCCCUGGGCUCAACCCGGGAACUGCCUUUGAAACUGGACGUCUUGAGUAUGGGAGA
This 565-nucleotide ribosomal RNA is filed under the name uncultured Alphaproteobacteria bacterium. RNAcentral describes it as "bacterial SSU rRNA". It matches the Rfam family "Bacterial small subunit ribosomal RNA", at positions 49 to 655 of the family's 1533-position model. Lineage: Bacteria; Pseudomonadati; Pseudomonadota; Alphaproteobacteria. The record is from RNAcentral.